CCAAAAGAAACAUAGGAACGCAUAGAACUAGAGUCCAGAUGAGAGGGCAGAGCUAGGAGGAGAUGCUGAUAUGCAUAGAUUACAUAGAAGAGACUACAAAUAGAUGCAGAUAUAGCAGAAGACAAUCGAGUUGUAUAUGUUAUGUAUAGAACAUACAUAUACUACGAUGUGGCAUUAUAUAACAGUGGUCGAUCGAUGACAAAUUUAUCUGAUGCCAUGGAGAAUAGUUCUUGUCACCGAGACAAGUAGCUGCUUUGCUAAACUCCCUGAUCUCUCCUUAUAUUGGUUGAUUAUCUGAUGCGGACGAUGUAACUUAAGUAUGUUCAGAAGAUGUCUUCAUCCAAAACUAGGCUUGACCAGCGGGUGGGAAGCGACUAGAGAAUAUGAUGUCUUUACUCAACUAUUUGUAAAUGUCAAGGAAUUUGUAUAGUAAAUAUAUGAGCUUAUGUGA
Non-coding RNA from Triticum urartu, 451 nucleotides. Lineage: Eukaryota; Viridiplantae; Streptophyta; Magnoliopsida; Poales; Poaceae. The record is from RefSeq and is a predicted model, not a curated record.